UGGGGAACCUUGCACAAUGGGGGCAACCCUGAUGCAGCGACGCCGCGUGAGCGAUGAAGCCCUUCGGGGCGUAAAGCUCUUUCGACCGGAACGAUAAUGACGGUACCGGGAGAAGAAGCUGCGGCUAACUACGUGCCAGCAGCCGCGGUAAUACGUAGGCAGCAAGCGUUGUUCGGAGUUACUGGGCGUAAAGAGUGCGUAGGCGGUUUUCUAAGUUCGGUGUGAAAUCUCCCGGCUUAACUGGGAGGGUGCGCCGAAGACUAGGAAGCUGGAGUGUGGGAAAGGCAGGCGGAAUUCCUGGUGUAGCGGUGAAAUGCGUAGAUAUCAGGAGGAACACCGGCGGUGUAGACGGCUUGCUAGACCAUAACUGACGCUGAGGCACGAAAGCGUGGGUAGCAAACA
Molecule: ribosomal RNA, 402 nt
Filed under: uncultured bacterium
Lineage: Bacteria
Description: bacterial SSU rRNA
Rfam family: Bacterial small subunit ribosomal RNA
Source: RNAcentral